UGGGGAAUAUUGCACAAUGGGCGAAAGCCUGAUGCAGCAACGCCGCGUGAGGGACGACGGCCUUCGGGUUGUAAACCUCUUUUAGCAAGGAAGAAGCGAAAGUGACGGUACUUGCAGAAAAAGCGCCGGCUAACUACGUGCCAGCAGCCGCGGUAAUACGUAGGGCGCAAGCGUUAUCCGGAAUUAUUGGGCGUAAAGAGCUCGUAGGCGGUUUGUCGCGUCUGCUGUGAAAACCCGAGGCUCAACCUCGGGCCUGCAGUGGGUACGGGCAGACUAGAGUGCGGUAGGGGAGAUUGGAACUCCUGGUGUAGCGGUGGAAUGCGCAGAUAUCAGGAAGAACACCGAUGGCGAAGGCAGAUCUCUGGCCGUAACUGACGCUGAGGAGCGAAAGGGUGGGGAGCAAACAGGCUUAGAAUGACCCUGGUAGUCCACCCGUAAACGUUGGGAACUAGUUGUGGGGUCCAUUCCACGGAUUCCGUGACGCAGCUAACGCAUUAAGUU
Molecule: ribosomal RNA, 501 nt
Filed under: uncultured bacterium
Lineage: Bacteria
Description: partial 16S ribosomal RNA
Rfam family: Bacterial small subunit ribosomal RNA
Source: RNAcentral